CCGCAUACGCCCUUCGGGGGAAAGAUUUAUCGGAGAAGGAUCGGCCCGCGUUAGAUUAGAUAGUUGGUGGGGUAAUGGCCUACCAAGUCUACGAUCUAUAGCUGGUUUUAGAGGAUGAUCAGCAACACUGGGACUGAGACACGGCCCAGACUCCUACGGGAGGCAGCAGUGGGGAAUCUUAGACAAUGGGCGCAAGCCUGAUCUAGCCAUGCCGCGUGUGUGAUGAAGGUCUUAGNAUCGUAAAGCACUUUCGCCAGGGAUGAUAAUGACAGUACCU
This 277-nucleotide ribosomal RNA is filed under the name Sulfitobacter sp. HI0027. RNAcentral's name for it is "partial 16S ribosomal RNA". It matches the Rfam family "Bacterial small subunit ribosomal RNA", at positions 169 to 480 of the family's 1533-position model. The record is from RNAcentral. Lineage: Bacteria; Pseudomonadati; Pseudomonadota; Alphaproteobacteria; Rhodobacterales; Roseobacteraceae.